RNAcentral lists this ribosomal RNA (1313 nucleotides) under Necallianassa sp. MA-03. Its description in RNAcentral is "SSU rRNA". It matches the Rfam family "Eukaryotic small subunit ribosomal RNA", at positions 21 to 1305 of the family's 1831-position model. The record is from RNAcentral. Lineage: Eukaryota; Metazoa; Arthropoda; Malacostraca; Decapoda; Callianassidae.
AGUCAUAUGCUUGUCUCAAAGAUUAAGCCAUGCAUGUGUAAGUACAAACCAACACAAGGUGAAACCGCGAAUGGCUCAUUAAAUCAGCUGUGGUUCAUUGGACCUUAAACCCACUUACUUGGAUAACUGUGGUAAUUCUAGAGCUAAUACAUGCGUCCAGUCUCUGACCGCAAGGGAAGAGCGCUCUUAUUAGUCCAAAACCGGUCGGGCCUCGGUCCGUAACCCGAAGGUGGUGAAUCUGAAUAAUUUUGACCUGAGCGCACGGUCUCCGCACCGGCGCCGUAUCCUUCAAGUGUCUGCCUUAUCAGCUGUCGACUGUAGGUUAUGUGCCUACAUUGGCUAUAACGGGUAACGGGGAAUCAGGGUUCGAUUCCGGAGAGGGAGCCUGAGAAACGGCUACCACAUCUAAGGAAGGCAGCAGGCACGCAAAUUACCCACUCCCGGCACGGGGAGGUAGUGACGAAAAAUAACGGUGCGAGACUCAUCCGAGGCCUCGCAAUCGGAAUGAGUACACUUUAAAUCCUUUAACGAGGAUCAAUUGGAGGGCAAGUCUGGUGCCAGCAGCCGCGGUAAUUCCAGCUCCAAUAGCGUAUAUUAAAGUUGUUGCGGUUAAAAAGCUCGUAGUUGGCACUCAGUUCCGGACUGACGGUGCACCGCCCGGUGUCUCUCCGUCACGCUCCGAACAGCAGGGCCGACCCUGCCCGGCCGGCUCGCACGGGGUGCUCUUCACCGAGUGUCCCGGGUGGCCGGCGAGUUUACUUUGAAAAAAUUAGAGUGCUCAAAGCAGGCUACUUGAACGGCCUGAAUGGUGAUGCAUGGAAUAAUGGAAUAGGACCUCGGUUCUAUUUUAUUGGUUUUCGGAUCCAGAGGUAAUGACGAAUAGAAACAGGCGGGGGCAUUCGUACUGCGACGCUAGAGGUGAAAUUCUUGGACCGUCGCAAGACGAACUACUGCGAAAGCAUUUGCCAAGGAUGUUUUCAUUAAUCAAGAACGAAAGUUAGAGGUUCGAAGGCGAUCAGAUACCGCCCUAGUUCUAACCAUAAACGAUGCUGACUAGCGAUCCGCCGGCGUUAUUCCCAUGACCCGGCGGGCAGCUUCCGGGAAACCAAAGUCUUUGAGUUCCGGGGGAAGUAUGGUUGCAAAGCUGAAACUUAAAGGAAUUGACGGAAGGGCACCACCAGGAGUGGAGCCUGCGGCUUAAUUUGACUCAACACGGGGAACCUCACCAGGCCCGGACACCGGGAGGAUUGACAGAUUGAGAGCUCUUUCUCGAUUCGGUGGGUGGUGGUGCAUGGCCGUUCUUAGUUGGUGGA